UACGGAGAAUGCAAGCGUUAUCCGGAAUGAUUGGGCGUAAAGCGUCCGCAGGUGGCUAUGUAAGUCUGCUGUUAAAGAGUCUAGCUCAACUAGAUAAGAGCAGUGGAAACUACAUGGCUAGAGUGCGUUCGGGGCAGAGGGAAUUCCUGGUGUAGCGGUGAAAUGCGUAGAGAUCAGGAAGAACACCGGUGGCGAAGGCGCUCUGCUAGGCCGCAACUGACACUGAGGGACGAAAGCUAGGGGAGCGAAUGGG
RNAcentral lists this ribosomal RNA (253 nucleotides) under uncultured bacterium. RNAcentral's name for it is "partial 16S ribosomal RNA". It matches the Rfam family "Bacterial small subunit ribosomal RNA", at positions 524 to 776 of the family's 1533-position model. The record is from RNAcentral.